This 468-nucleotide ribosomal RNA is filed under the name uncultured bacterium. RNAcentral describes it as "partial 16S ribosomal RNA". It matches the Rfam family "Bacterial small subunit ribosomal RNA", at positions 28 to 507 of the family's 1533-position model. The record is from RNAcentral.
GACGAACGCUGGCGGCGUGCUUAACACAUGCAAGUCGAACGGAAAGGCCCUGCUUUUGUGGGGUGCUCGAGUGGCGAACGGGUGAGUAACACGUGAGUAACCUGCCCUUGACUUUGGGAUAACUUCAGGAAACUGGGGCUAAUACCGGAUAGGAGCUCCUGCUGCAUGGUGGGGGUUGGAAAGUUUCGGCGGUUGGGGAUGGACUCGCGGCUUAUCAGCUUGUUGGUGGGGUAGUGGUUUACCAAGGCUUUGACGGGUAGCCGGCCUGAGAGGGUGACCGGCCACAUUGGGACUGAGAUACGGCCCAGACUCCUACGGGAGGCAGCAGUGGGGAAUAUUGCACAAUGGGCGGAAGCCUGAUGCAGCAACGCCGCGUGCGGGAUGACGGCCUUCGGGCUGUAAACCGCUUACGCCUGUGACGAAGCGUGAGUGACGGUAAUGGGUAAAGAAGCACCGGCUAACUACGUG